This is an RNA transcript of Macaca mulatta (Rhesus monkey), 1702 nucleotides long. RefSeq lists it as uncharacterized. NCBI's taxonomy places the organism in Eukaryota, Metazoa, Chordata, Mammalia, Primates, Cercopithecidae. The record is from RefSeq and is a predicted model, not a curated record.
UCAGUUAUUAGUUUUAUUUACUACUCAAUUAAAUUUAAUAAGCCUAUUCUCUCAGUGUAAUCACAUGGAAUGCGCUCAACUCCCCAGUUAACAAGUGACAGCACAUGUAAAAUAUUGUCUACCAGGGAAACUCAUUGAACACUUAGUGUUCAGACUGUGUUUUGGUGUCUAGUUCGUAAGCACCACUGCAGUGACACAAAAUAAUAGACCUUCAGCAGAAAAAGUUUUGGCAAAUAUAUUGCAUAAGCCAUUUAGAUGCAGUGAGUCAUUCUUAUUACUUGGGUUGGUGGAAUCCCUUUCAAAAUGUAAGUUACUAAUACAAACAAAGAUUGAACUUUGUGAGCAGGCAUUUUUAAGGGUAAGUAGUCUCAGGACUGAUAAUAUUAACUCACUUAUGCACAUCAGGUAGGACUUUAUUAUGACAGAUACUAGAAAUGUACAAAGUGAAGUUAAAAGGUAACUCCUAGCAGCACAUCUUACUCCCUGGAUUCUCUAAUGAGAUGGGUGUUUCUACUUUGCUGUUGCCUUUUUGAAUAGUUCAAUUCUAGCAUUAGUACUGCUGUGUGGGAGGGAGUAUGUGUGAACAGAGUAAGAGUUGUGACAAUCAAGUCAUAGAAUAAAUGCUUGGAAAUUUUAGAAUCAUGUAAACAGCUUAUGAAUUGAGUAUAGAUUCCCAGUGCUGUCAGUCUCACCCAUCCUUCUAUCCAUAUGUGUGGAAUGUUCUAGGACUCCAUGGCUUUUGAGGAUGUGGCUGUGAACUUUAAGAGGAAUGGACUUUGCUAGAUUCUUCUCAGAAGAAUCUCUGUAGAGAAGUGAUGCAGGAAACCUGCAGGAACCUGGCUUCUGUAGGAAACAAAUGAAAAGACCAGAAUAUUGAAGAUCACUUCGAAAAACCUGGGAAAGAUAUAAGAUAAUUUGCACUGAGAAGAGGAAGUAAAGUCCUCUGAAGGAAUCUUAGUAUGUCAUGAACUUAAAAACAAGCAAUCAAAGCAAAAAUCAUAUGUUACAGAGACUGUGUGAAAGCAAAGAAGGUAGUCAGUAUGGACAAGUUGUCAGCCAAAUUCCAAAUCUUGAUCUGAAUGAGAACAUUUCUACUGGAUUAAAGCAAUGUGAAUGCAGUAUUUGUGGAAAAGUCUUUGUACGUCAUUCCCUUCUUAACAGGCACUCCUAGCUCGCUCAGGAUACAAACCAUAUGGAGAGAAGCAAUAUAAAUGUGAACAGUGUGGGAAACUCUCCGUUUCUGUUCCAGGUGCUAGAAGACACAAGAUAAUGCACAGUGGAAAUCCAGCUUAUAAAUGUACAAUAUGUGGGAAAGCUUUUUAUUUUCUCAAUUCAGUUGAAAGACAUCAGAGAACUCACACAGGAGAAAAACUCCAUAAAUGUAAACAAUGUGGUAAAGUGUUCACUGUUUCCGGUUCUUGUCUAAUACAUGAACGAACUCACACUGGAGAGAAACCCUAUGAAUGUAAGGAAUGUGGGAAAACAUUCAGAUUUUCUUGUUCUUUUAAGACGCAUGAAAGGAUUCACGCUGGAGAAAGACCCUAUAAAUGUACCACAUGUGAUAAAGCCUUCAGCUGUUCCACUUCCCUUCAUUACCAUGGAAGCAUUCAUACUGGAGAGAGACCCUAUGAAUGUAAACAAUGUGGCAAAGCCUUUAGUCGUUUGAGUUCCCUUUGUAACCAUAGAAGUACUCAUACUGGAG